ACCGGCGCACGGGUGAGUAACACGUAUCCAACCUGCCGAUGACUCGGGGAUAGCCUUUCGAAAGAAAGAUUAAUACCCGAUGGCAUAGUUCUUCCGCAUGGUAGAACUAUUAAAGAAUUUCGGUCAUCGAUGGGGAUGCGUUCCAUUAGCUUGUUGGCGGGGUAACGGCCCACCAAGGCAUCGAUGGAUAGGGGUUCUGAGAGGAAGGUCCCCCACAUUGGAACUGAGACACGGUCCAAACUCCUACGGGAGGCAGCAG
This 259-nucleotide ribosomal RNA is filed under the name uncultured bacterium. RNAcentral's name for it is "partial 16S ribosomal RNA". It matches the Rfam family "Bacterial small subunit ribosomal RNA", at positions 94 to 354 of the family's 1533-position model. The record is from RNAcentral.